RNAcentral lists this long non-coding RNA (266 nucleotides) under Hordeum vulgare. Its description in RNAcentral is "long non-coding RNA (HVUL_LNC020838)". The record is from RNAcentral. Lineage: Eukaryota; Viridiplantae; Streptophyta; Magnoliopsida; Poales; Poaceae.
ACAACAACAACAACGAGCACAGAGACAAUAACAACAACAAUAACCCCAACGACAAUAGAGACAACUACGAAGAGAACAACAACAAAAACAAGAAACACGAUGAUGAUGACGACGACAACGACGACAACAACAAUAACAACGACAAUGAUGACGACGACCACUACCACCACCACCAUGAAGACGACCACAACAACAACAACCAGAACAACAACAACAACAACAACAACAACAACAACAACAACAACAACAACAACAGCCACAACAAC